CAAUAGCGUAUAUUAAAGUUGUUGCGGUAAAAAAGCUCGUAGUUGGAUUUCUACCGAAGAUAGCCGGUCGGGUCUUCGACCUUGUAUCUGGUUUUGUCUUUGGUAUCCUCAUAGGGAACGUUUCUGCGCUUUAUUGCGUGGUGCGGUAUCUAUGACUUUUACUUUGAGGAAAUUAGAGUGUUCACGGCAGGCAAACGCCUUGAAUAUAUUAGCAUGGAAUAAUAACAUAGGAUCUUCGUCCUAUUUUGUUGGUUUCUAGGGCUAAGAUAAUGAUUAAUAGGGAUAAUUGGGGGCAUCUGUAUCAACGCGUCAGAGGUGGAAUUCUUGGAUUGCGUUGCGACAAACUACUGCGAAAGCAUUUGCCAAGAAUGUUUUCAUUGA
Molecule: ribosomal RNA, 381 nt
Filed under: uncultured eukaryote
Lineage: Eukaryota
Description: partial 18S ribosomal RNA
Rfam family: Eukaryotic small subunit ribosomal RNA
Source: RNAcentral